Molecule: long non-coding RNA, 451 nt
Organism: Triticum dicoccoides
Lineage: Eukaryota; Viridiplantae; Streptophyta; Magnoliopsida; Poales; Poaceae
Exons: 3
Source: RefSeq, a predicted model, not a curated record
CCCAAAUCCAACAUUUUAGUAAGAUUUGUACUGACUCAAAAUUCACCCAUGAACCCUGACUCUAAAAUUAGUAUUGUCUCAAAGUUCAAUAAGAUUUGCUCAUUGUUGCGCAGUACUGAAUCAUGGAUUAUAUUGUGGCUCUGCAGGUCUAGCCCAUCGACGACGAUGGCUCCUCCUCAUGCUCAUCGGACUCGUGCACAAGUGCUCUGCAAGUCUGCAUUGGGAAGCAGAUACAGUUUUUCUUGGUGGGCGUGGUUUUGGAACAGCCAUGUCUUCUCUAAUUUUGACAGUGCUUGAGUUUAGAGUAUGGUUAUACUUUUGCUUAGGCAGGGUAAUUGCUUUUCUUACUGGUGCUCCUGAUUAUGAAGAUGGUCAACUAGACACUAAGAGAUAUGGUGAGCAAUAUGCUAGCAAAGGGGAAGAUGUUGACCUCAUGUUGCUCCCUGAGCAG